CAGUCGCCGCGGUAAUACGGAGGGUGCAAGCGUUAUCCGGAUUUAUUGGGUUUAAAGGGUCCGUAGGCGGACUUAUAAGUCAGUGGUGAAAGCCUGUCGCUUAACGAUAGAACUGCCAUUGAUACUGUAAGUCUUGAGUAUAUUUGAGGUAGCUGGAAUAAGUAGUGUAGCGGUGAAAUGCAUAGAUAUUACUUAGAACACCAAUUGUGAAGGCAGGUUACCAAGAUAUAACUGACGCUGAGGGACGAAAGCGUGGGUAGCGAACAGGAUUAGAUACCCGAGUAGUCCCUGUCUCUUAUAC
This 301-nucleotide ribosomal RNA is filed under the name uncultured bacterium. RNAcentral's name for it is "partial 16S ribosomal RNA". It matches the Rfam family "Bacterial small subunit ribosomal RNA", at positions 509 to 807 of the family's 1533-position model. The record is from RNAcentral.